Molecule: ribosomal RNA, 460 nt
Filed under: uncultured bacterium
Lineage: Bacteria
Description: partial 16S ribosomal RNA
Rfam family: Bacterial small subunit ribosomal RNA
Source: RNAcentral
CCUACGGGGUGCAGCAGUGAGGAAUAUUGGUCAAUGGACGAGAGUCUGAACCAGCCAAGUAGCGUGAAGGAUGACUGCCCUAUGGGUUGUAAACUUCUUUUAUAAAGGAAUAAAACGAGGCACGUGUGCCUUUUUGCAUGUACUUUAUGAAUAAGGAUCGGCUAACUCCGUGCCAGCAGCCGCGGUAAUACGGAGGAUCCGAGCGUUAUCCGGAUUUAUUGGGUUUAAAGGGAGCGUAGAUGGGGUGUUAAGUCAGUUGUGAAAGGUUGCGGCUCAACCGUAAAAUUGCAAUUGAUACUGGCAGUCUUGAGUACAGUUGAGGUAGGCGGAAUUCGUGGUGUAGCGGUGAAAUGCUUAGAUAUCACGAAGAACCCCGAUUGCGAAGGCAGCUUACUAAACUGUGACUGACAUUGAUGCUCGAAAGUGUGGGUAUCAAACAGGAUUAGAUACCCUGGUAGUC